This 625-nucleotide ribosomal RNA is filed under the name uncultured bacterium. RNAcentral's name for it is "bacterial SSU rRNA". It matches the Rfam family "Bacterial small subunit ribosomal RNA", at positions 10 to 633 of the family's 1533-position model. The record is from RNAcentral.
AGUUUGAUCCUGGCUCAGGACGAACGCUGGCGGCGUGCCUAAUACAUGCAAGUCGAGCGGGGUUACUACGUUUGAAUCCUUCGGGAUGACGAUGUUUUAACCUAGCGGCGGACGGGUGAGUAACGCGUGGGUAACCUGCCCUAAAGUUCGGGGUAACACCGGGAAACCGGUGCUAAUACCGGAUAUCUUUUAGAGAAGGCAUCUUCUUUAAAAGAAAGAUUACGCUUUAGGAUGGGCCCGCGUCCCAUUAGCUAGUUGGUGAGGUAACGGCUCACCAAGGCUGCGAUGGGUAGCCGGCCUGAGAGGGUGAACGGCCACACUGGGACUGAGACACGGCCCAGACUCCUACGGGAGGCAGCAGUAGGGAAUAUUGCGCAAUGGGGGAAACCCUGACGCAUCGACGCCGCGUGAGUGAUGAAGGCCUUCGGGUCGUAAAACUCUGUCCUUAGGGAAGAAAUCAAUGACGGUACCUAAAGAGGAAGCCCCGGCUAACUACGUGCCAGCAGCCGCGGUAAUACGUAGGGCGCGAGCGUUGUCCGGAAUUACUGGGCGNAANGGGUGCGUNGNCGGCCUUUUAAGUCAGAUGUGAAAGCCCGCGGCUUAACUGCGGGAUUGCAUUUGAAAC